GGUAAAAUGGCUGAGAUAGGCGAUAAAUUGUAAAUUUAUUUACGAAUUUAAAAAUUCUUUUAUCA
This 65-nucleotide transfer RNA is filed under the name Curculionoidea sp. 1 KM-2017. RNAcentral describes it as "tRNA-Tyr". It matches the Rfam family "tRNA". From Rfam's summary of the family: Transfer RNA (tRNA) molecules are approximately 80 nucleotides in length. Their secondary structure includes four short double-helical elements and three loops (D, anti-codon, and T loops). The record is from RNAcentral. Lineage: Eukaryota; Metazoa; Arthropoda; Insecta; Coleoptera.